This 569-nucleotide long non-coding RNA is filed under the name Equus caballus (horse). RNAcentral describes it as "lncRNA (ENSECAG00000048563.1)". The record is from RNAcentral. Lineage: Eukaryota; Metazoa; Chordata; Mammalia; Perissodactyla; Equidae.
CUGAGACCUCUUUCAACAAAUUCAAGUGAGAACCUGGAGAGUUUGGGAAGAGAGAAGACUUUGGAACUCCCGGGUUUGCAUUCUCCCAGGACUUUCUGGCCCAGAAAGAGGGUGACUUGGGAGGAGUUACCACAACCACACAGAGAGUGACAGAGGGAGACAGUAGAGGGAGCUUAAGCCAAAAGGUUGAGACAAGAGGUAGCAGUUACAGAAAAGUUGAGGGUGGGAAAGGAGCAACAGACCUUUUUGGGUGGGUAAGAGAGAAAACAAUGGCUCAGGUAAGGGGGCUAAUGUCUCAGUGGAGUCAAAUGUUCACUUCCUUCCUGAAGCCUGGACUGCCUGAUGUGGGUUAGUCUGCUGACUGUGGCGUCUUUCUUCCCCACAUGCUCUGUCUUCUCUACACUUUCCCCAGAGGAGGAGAUCCUGACCCAGUUCCAGGACCUCAGAAUGUGACUGUACUUGGAGAUAGCUUCUUUAAAGAAGUGAUGAAGUUAAAAUGAUGCUCUUCAUGUGGGCUGAAUCAAAUCUGAGUGGUAUCCUUAUAAGAAGAGGAAAUUAGCGAACAAAAA